RNAcentral lists this long non-coding RNA (558 nucleotides) under Medicago truncatula (barrel medic). RNAcentral describes it as "long non-coding RNA (MTRU_LNC008207)". Lineage: Eukaryota; Viridiplantae; Streptophyta; Magnoliopsida; Fabales; Fabaceae. The record is from RNAcentral.
UUUUGAGUGUUAUGAGUUAAUAAGUGUUUGAAAACAUGGAGGCUAGUGGCGGCGUUACGGUGGUCGGAUCAGAUGCUCCGUCGGAGUACCACGUAGCUCCAAGAACAGACAACCAAACUCCGAUAUGCCGUCUGCUCCGUUGCCGCCGGUGAUCAAUUUCAUGGCGGAGAAGCGUGCAAAAGUGAAGCCAGUUAGCUCUAUGAUAUGCUUCUCUGUUAAACAAACAUGAAGGAUGGGAGAAAGAAAACUAAGGUGAGAGGUGAGAACCAAGCUGAUGGCACAUGUUUCCAAGGGUGGUGUGAAUUACUACCUCCAUGUUUCACUUUUGGUGGUGUAUCUAGCAAAAACAAUAAAUGAAAUAUUAAUCAAUAUAAUAUGUUUCCUUUUUUUAAUGUUUUAUUUUUAGCAGGUAACCAAACCGCCACCUGUCCAGAAAAGUGUAGGUUGUGCAUGGUGCACAAAUCUUUCUCUUGUGCAUGCUAAAUACCACCUUCAUACUUUAAAAGGACAUCUACAUCAUCACCAAUAAUACACUCUUCAACCAAGUAUAUUUCAGUA